This is a small RNA of Caryophanon tenue, 223 nucleotides long. It matches the Rfam family "Bacillus sRNA ncr1575". NCBI's taxonomy places the organism in Bacteria, Bacillati, Bacillota, Bacilli, Caryophanales, Caryophanaceae. The record is from Rfam.
UACUAUUAAUCGAAAGGAGAGAUGGGUGGACAAUGAAGAACUAAUCUAAUUUUUAACAAAUGAAAUAGUAUAUUUCAGUUUAAAAACUUAGGAUUAGUCUGCCCAUUUUUCCAUAUACUAAAUAAAUGUAAGACUGAAUAGCUAAAAAGGCUAAAUAGUUUUAUUUGAGUCCUUAAAAAGUGACAUGACUAAUCCUUCCAACAUUAUUUGGGAGGAUUUUUUA